This 564-nucleotide ribosomal RNA is filed under the name uncultured Paracoccaceae bacterium. RNAcentral describes it as "bacterial SSU rRNA". It matches the Rfam family "Bacterial small subunit ribosomal RNA", at positions 337 to 917 of the family's 1533-position model. The record is from RNAcentral. Lineage: Bacteria; Pseudomonadati; Pseudomonadota; Alphaproteobacteria; Rhodobacterales; Paracoccaceae.
UCCUACGGGAGGCAGCAGUGGGGAAUCUUGGACAAUGGGCGCAAGCCUGAUCCAGCCAUGCCGCGUGAGUGAUGAAGGCCCUAGGGUCGUAAAGCUUCUUUCGCCAAGGGAUGAUAAUGACAGUACCUGGUAAAGAAACCCCGGCUAACUCCGUGCCAGCAGCCGCGGUAAUACGGAGGGGGUUAGCGUUGUUCGGAAUUACUGGGCGUAAAGCGCGCGUAGGCGGACUAGAAAGUUGGGGGUGAAAUCCCGGAGCUCAACUCCGGAACUGCCUCCAAAACUCCUAGUCUAGAGUUCGAGAGAGGUGAGUGGAAUUCCGAGUGUAGAGGUGAAAUUCGUAGAUAUUCGGAGGAACACCAGUGGCGAAGGCGGCUCACUGGCUCGAUACUGACGCUGAGGUGCGAAAGUGUGGGGAGCAGACAGGAUUAGAUACCCUGGUAGUCCACACCGUAAACGAUGAAUGCCAGACGUCGGGUAGCAUGCUAUUCGGUGUCACACCUAACGGAUUAAGCAUUCCGCCUGGGGAGUACGGUCGCAAGAUUAAAACUCAAAUGAAUUGACGGA